GUGGUGAUAGAUGACUAAUCCAUCUGAGUAAUAAAUAAGUGUUCAUUGUAAGUUAUCAAGAUGAGCAUAGAAGAUUUCUUAUGAUAAACAAAGUUUCGAUUAUGACCAUGGAAGAAACAUGUAAGCUUGCAGUGAUUGGGCGUCCAUGUAAAAUGUGCUCUAAUCAAGUGGCCUUCUUCAAAAGGAAGUGGAAUAUGAAGAAAGGAUAGAUUGUUCAGACUUUGCCUGUGGAGGAAGGGAGAUUCCUAGGUGCUCAACACUUGAUGCUCAUUGCUCUGUUUAAGAAGAAUAAGAAACUUAGAGAUACAAGUAUGCCCAAAUAGGUUGCACAUCCUAUUGGACAUCCUGUUGGAGUAGCAAUGUCAAAGAAGAUGUACGUUAUACAAAUAGUUGAAGAGAAGUAUCUAAAUCUGGAAAGUACUAGUGUGUCUACAACCUCAGAAUUCCUCACUAAAGAAAAUGCGAAUCUCAAGUCCUACCUCAUCAAAUUUAGAGUCUCACAUCUCUUUAAUAGCUUUGUGUUGCACAUUGUCCAGGUUCAAGUUUCCUUUGAGGAAACAAUUUCAAGAAUACACUUGCAAGGGUAUUAAAAUCCCUUAUCUUUGUGGAGCCUCCAAAUAUUCACCUCUCUAAAAACUCAGUUCAUUCAUUUUAUAUUGUAUAUUGUUAAAUGCAAUUUCCUUUUGACAGGAUUUCUUGCUACAACUCUCUUUGAUCUUUCAAUGAAAAUAAUGUCAAAUCUGGAAUCCUAGCCCCCUCCCUUGGUCUUCAAAACUUCAUUUCUUUAACUUGUAGAGAUUGAGGGAUGCCUUGUUCUAGUCCUCCUUGUCAAGUGAAAGGAUGUCUUCUAUGUUUUAUCAAACUUUGAAAUCAAAGAUGUUUCAAGGAGAAUGAUAGAGAUUGACCCUAGAUUGCCCGCUUCCCCUAAAAUGAGGAUACGUCAUAAACUCAUUUUUGAACCAUAAUAAAUUCAAAUUGCAAAAAUGGGUGUAGAGCCAAUUCAACCCUAUCCUAUCCUUACAUUCAUUAAGUGGCUCAACAAUUUAUGGAAGUCUCCAUGGAGUUAUGUUGAAAGUUUGACUAGGAAGCAAGUUUUGAGUACAAUAGUUACAAACUUAUAGGUGAGUAUUUUGUUUCUUAUCGAUCUCUCCCAUGGUCAAUGUAAGCAUCUUAAGUUCUACCUGUAAUGAAAUCUUCGUAAUUUUCUUUAGGUGCUCUUUGAGCAGUCUUAGUUAGAGAUUUGACAAGCAAGCAUGGGACGUAAAAUGACAAGGGAGGGUGUUAUUUGACGAUAGUUUCAAAUUGGCAUGGAUGCCUUCAUUUCAAUUAAGCAUCUUUUGUGAUACCCUUCUAACCGGAUUUAAAUACAAUUUUCUAAUUCAAUAUAUAAUGCACAAAUUUUACCUUAAUAAGUACACUUUAUGUUAAAAUAUCAAUCUUCUGUAAUCAAGGAAAUGACAAAUUUUCCUUUUAGAAUGAAUGAUGAAAAUUUUCUUUACCGUAUAGUUAUUUAUGAUCUCAAGUCAUUCCUUUAAGGUUUUCAAAUUUUCAAAAGGAAGGAUUCAAUUUGCUAUAUGUUUAAUGCUCUUAUUCUGUUGACAAAAUGAGAUUUGGAUUUCACAUUGGAGACUACAAGUUUGGCCUAAAUGCAAGUAACACCUCUUUAUUUAUUUCACACAUGAUUAAAAAACUAAGUAGCAAGUGCAUAACUUCCAUUUAUUUAUUGUACAGUUUCUACAACACACCAUGUUCUUAUGUCUCUUGGAAAGUUAAGAACCUUGUUUAAAAUAUAGUGUGCUUUCCAUGCAAAGAAGUCUCGUGCUUCGUGAUUGUGGUGGCUUGAAUAGAAACUUGCAUCUAUUUUGAUACGUGGAGAACUCAAGACAACAUCUGGUUUUUAGUGCCUUUCAAAUUAGUGGAUUUCAUAUUAAUUUCUCAAUCAAUAUGCAAUGUGUUUUUCAUGGAACAUUGCUAAAAAAAUUUGUAAUUUUUUUUUUUUGUUUAUAAAUCAUUACUAAAUUUUGAUUGCAAAUAAUUGUCAAGAUUCAUUAGCAAGAAUUUUAUCCAACAUACAAGCUUUUAGGUGAGUGAUAUACACUGAAAUUUUUUCUAUUUUGUUUGGUUUGAAAUGCUCUUCAAUUUUAAACCAACAUACUGUUAUUUGUUUGCAACAUGUUAUAUUUGUAGAAAAUUAUCUUAUCUAGAUUUAUACUAUGGAUUUGAAUAAUGUUUGAGGUGAAGGAGUCUUUUGGCAUGUCUUGCUUUCUUGAGUUGUGCAAGUCAAAGGCUCGAAGAGCACAAACUCUUAUGACUAGAGGAAAGACAAUUGAAUUCUCAUUCUAUGGUGAGCUAUGAGGAUUCUGUUGUGAGUUGUAUGGUAUUAUUUGAAUUGCAAAUAGCCUUAUUUGGCUUUCAAAUACUUAAUGCAAUUGUGCAUGGUCACGAAUCGAACUCAUACUUGACAAAUUUGUGAGUUGUAUGGUAUGCUUUCUUAUUUUCUUUUUAUUUUAUGCAUGGGUGAAAAAAAAACAUUCUUGGUAACCUGAGGAACAUUUGGUUAUUGCAAUACCUAAUGUUUUUUGGAAGCUGAUUACAAUAUUCAUGGGUGAAAAAAUCUUUGUUUUUAUAAUUUAUUUUUUGAAAGCAGAUUCAUGGCCUUUAUCAAUUCCUUGCAUAUUCCUAAUAUUAUAAAGCUUACUUGUUUUCCAAAAUUGCUUAUCGUAUGAUAGAAGUGAAUGCAUUAAAGAUUGUUAAUUGAAAGAAAUAAUUUGUUUGUAGCUAGAGAUUGGAGAUGACAUUACAACAUGAUCUCAUGUCCUUGGUAAUUUGUAGAUUGAGGGUUUUCAAAAGGCUUUACCCCAAUACCAGUAAAAGAACUACCACGGAAGCAACUAACAUUAGUACCUUGUAUCUCAAGUUUCAUAGAGAGUUAAUCAUUGAAUUGGUGCCCAGUCUUUUUUCCAAGAUAGGUGUGUUAUCCAUGCCGAGGGGAUGCCCUAUUUAAAUUAUAGGGCUUUGGAUUCCUUAAUGAUUGGAAUGAACUCCGGAAUUCUUGCAUAUUUCUAAAUGUCAUGUCACAUCUUUCCAACAAGGAAAAUUCCUUCAAUGCUCUAAAUUGUGGAGAUCACGAGUUGCUAAAAUUUAUGGUCUGCAUUAGAGAAGGAUUGUUUGAUGCUCUCACUACUGGCUACAUCUCUUGUCCUUGCAACUACAUAUCUUUUAAUCCCCUUUAGUGAGAAAAGAAUAAAGAACAUAAACAAGUUGUUCAUGAUGACUCACAUUCCUAAUUUUCUAGUUGAUGGUGUACCUUCUUGAGAUUGAAGAAGGAGAAAUGUCAAAGACAUCCCUUAUCUGAGGGAGGCCUUCACAGACUCACCACUCUCAAACAACUCAAGAUUGAUAGUAUAUUUAAGAUUUGUUUCUUCUCAUAUGACUAAGGCUUGCCCUUUCUUCCAAUGAAUCACUCAUGUAUAUUUCCAUGUAAAGAUUCCAGAAUCCAUGAAUUUCCUAUAUCACCAAAACCUCACCUAAGCUCUAGUUGUAUUUAAUAGAUGGAGAAAUCCAACUUUGAUCCAUAAUAAUUUGGAUUCCAAAAAUGGAAGCAAAGAGGGUUCACCCUAUCCUAUCCAUAUAUUUAGUAAGUUUCAUCUAUUCCCAACACAUAAUUCUUACAUUUUAUCUUCUUGUUACAAGUAUAAAUUAUCAUACUGUUAAAAUUUUCUACAAGUUCAACUACUAGAGAACCCCUACACUCAACCUUUUUGUUGAAAACUUGACUAGGAAGCAGCAUCUAACAACAAUUACAAGCUUUAUGGCUUCACAUUUUCUAUUCAUAGUAUGUUCCUCUUGUUGGUCAUCCCAUAGUCCCAUGUAAGCAUUAGUAUUUUUAUUUCUCCCAAUUUAAAUUUUAACACAAUAAUUUAACUGAGUGAAUUCAUUUAUGUUAACAAGAAGUUCUGCUUGGUGUAUUCUUGUUGCAGGAUUCUUUUUGUGAAAGGUUGUCUAACUUCCUAUUCACCAUGUUUUCUACUUCAUUUAGGUGUAGUGACAUGUCAAUUGGAUAUCUGGAAGUUAUAUGAUGUAAUGAAUUAGAAGCUACCAAGAGGGUGCACUACUUUAAGCCUCUUCGAGAGAUAAUAAUUGAUGGUUGUAUGCCCAAGACACCUUUUUCCUAGGGAUAGGUUUUUCAUUCAAUGUAAGAAGGUUGACAGUUCAAAAUUGUAUAUAGGGCUUUGGGGUUGUUACUGAUUGGAAUGAUUCACAAUUCAAGCAACAACAAGUCUCUGGAAUUCUUUCAAAUUUCUAAAUGUCCUCUCACGUGUUUCCAAGAGGCCAGCUUCCUACAAUCCUAAUGAAGGUGGAGAUCCUGAGUUGCUAAAAUUUAGGGUGUAGAGUAGAUGAAUGUUGUCGAAUGCAAAAGAAGAAUACUACUUCUCUUGAAUAAUGGUAUGUCACUUGUCUCUAUCUUUCACAUCAUUGCCAAUUGAUACCUUACCUGAUCCUGAAACACCUUGGUAUUUAUGAUUGGAAUGAUUCACAAUUCAAGCAACAACAAGUCUCUAGAAUUCUUUCAGAUUUCUAAAUGUCCUCUCAUGUGUUUCCAAAAGGCCAGCAUCCUGCAAUCCUAAUGAAGGUGGAGAUUCUGAGUUGCUAAAAUUUGGGGUGUAGAGUAGAUGAAUGUUGUUGAAUGCAAAAGAAGAAUACUACUUCUCUUGAAUGCUGGUAUGUUGCUUGUCUCUAUCUCUCAUAUCAUAGCUAAGAAAUGUCUUACUUGAUCUUGAAACACCUUGGUAUUUAUGAUUGGAAUGAUUCACAAUUCAAGCAAUAGCAAGUCUCUGGAAUUCUUUUAGAUUUCUAAAUGUCCUCUCAUGUGUUUCCAAAAGGUCAGCUUCGUGCAAUCCUAAUGAAAGUGGAGAUCCUAAGUUGCUAAAAUUUGGGGUUUAGAGUAGAUGAUUGUUGUCAAAUGCAAAAGAAGAAUACUAUUUCUCUUGAAUAUUGGUAUGUUUCUUGUCUUUAUCUCUCACAUCAAUAUCAAGAGAUGUCUUACCUGAUCUUAGAAUACUUUGGUAUUUAUGAUUGGAAUGAUUCACAAUUCAAGCAACAGAAAGUCUUUGGAAUUCUUUUAG
Molecule: long non-coding RNA, 5126 nt
Organism: Vitis vinifera (wine grape)
Lineage: Eukaryota; Viridiplantae; Streptophyta; Magnoliopsida; Vitales; Vitaceae
Exons: 6
Source: RefSeq, a predicted model, not a curated record